Molecule: long non-coding RNA, 261 nt
Organism: Myotis brandtii (Brandt's bat)
Lineage: Eukaryota; Metazoa; Chordata; Mammalia; Chiroptera; Vespertilionidae
Exons: 3
Source: RefSeq, a predicted model, not a curated record
CCGGCUCCCGCGGCCGGUACUAAAUUUAGAACUUCGCUUCUACUCCUCUUCGGAAAUGGGGAUGGGAACCACAACCUUGGCAUGUUGGGAGGAUGCUCUAACCAACUGAGCCACCAGCCACGGCAGACUUUGUUCUAAGUGGAUUGAGAACCAUUCAAGGGUUUAAGCAAGAUGGGAAACCAGCGUUUCAACACCACAGCACUCACCUCGGGGAAGCAUCCUAAAGAACUGCGGAAAUUUUGACCCUCAGACCUUAAAAAG